This 388-nucleotide RNase P RNA is filed under the name Chloracidobacterium sp. Its description in RNAcentral is "RNase P RNA component class A". It matches the Rfam family "Bacterial RNase P class A". From Rfam's summary of the family: Ribonuclease P (RNase P) is a ubiquitous endoribonuclease, found in archaea, bacteria and eukarya as well as chloroplasts and mitochondria. The record is from RNAcentral. Lineage: Bacteria; Pseudomonadati; Acidobacteriota; Blastocatellia; Chloracidobacteriales; Chloracidobacteriaceae.
GAAGUACGCUGGGCAAUCGCGGUUGCGAAGCAAACGAGGAAAGUCCGAACACCAUAGGGCAGCGAGCCGGAUAACGUCCGGGACUUUGUAAAAGGGUGACGACAAGUGCAACAGAGAAUAUUCCAGCCUCGCAAGGGGUAAUGGGUGAAACGGUGAGGUAAGAGCUCACCGGCGUCGGUGGUAACAUCGGCGGCCAGGUAAACUCCUCGUGGUGCAAGAUCAAAUAGGGAAACGCAGAAGUGGGCUGCCCGCUUACUGUCCAAACCGAAAGGUGAGGCGGCGUUUCCGGGUAGAUCGCUUGAGCCGUCCGGUAACGGCCGGCCUAGAUGAAUGAUUGCCAUCUGCCGCAAGGCGGAUACAAAAUUCGGCUUACAGGCGUACUUCGAAU